Molecule: ribosomal RNA, 1445 nt
Filed under: uncultured Bordetella sp.
Lineage: Bacteria; Pseudomonadati; Pseudomonadota; Betaproteobacteria; Burkholderiales; Alcaligenaceae
Description: partial 16S-23S ribosomal RNA intergenic spacer
Rfam family: Bacterial small subunit ribosomal RNA
Source: RNAcentral
ACGAUCAUGAGAAACAGAUUGAACGCUGGCGGGAUGCUUUACACAUGCAAGUCGAACGGCAGCACGGACUUCGGUCUGGUGGCGAGUGGCGAACGGGUGAGUAAUGUAUCGGAACGUGCCUAGUAGCGGGGGAUAACCAUGGCCGUAGCUAAUACCGCAUACGCCCUUCCAGGAAAGCGGGGGACCUUCGGGCCUCGCACUAUUAGAGCAGCCGAUAUCGGAUUGGCUAGUUGGUGGGGUAACGGCUCACCAAGGCGACGAUCCGUGGCUGGUUUGAGAGGACGACCAGCCACACUGGGACUGAGACACGGCCAGACUCCUACGGGAGGCAGCAGUGGGAAUUUUGGACAAUGGGAAACCCUGAUCCAGCCAUCCCGCGUGUGCGAUGAAGGCCUUCGGGUUGUAAAGCACUUUUGGCAGGAAAGAAACGGCUGGGAUAAUACCCCGUGCAACUGACAAUACCUGCAGAAUAAGCACCGGCUAACUACGUGCCAGCAGCACGGUAAUACGUAGGGUGCAAGCGUUAAUCGGAAUUACUGGGCAAGCGUGCGCAAUUGGUUCGAAGGUGCUGGAAAUCAGAGCUAACUUUUGGAACCGACUUAACUACUGGCCAAGAGUGGCGUCAGUGAGAUUCGCAGUGGCAGCAGUAAAUGCGUGGAACAUGCGGAACACCAGGCGCGGUAUUUCUGGGAUACACAACGCUAUGCACGACAGCCAGUGGGAGCAAACAGGGAUGGAACCACCCUGUUGGUCCGCCCACAAAACGAUGUCAACUGGCUGUUGGGGUUCGGCUGCAUGAUGGCCAUAACCAGCUUGCGUGAAGUUGACCGCCUGGGGAGGUACGGUCGCAAGAUUAAAACUCAAAGGAAUUGACGGGGACCCGCACAAGCGGUGGAUGAUGUGGAUUAAUUCGAUGCAACGCGAAAAACCUUACCUACCCUUGACAUGUCUGGAAUCCCGAAAGGGUUGGGAGUGCUCGCAAGAGAACCGGAACACAGGUGCUGCAUGGCUGUCGUCAGCUCUGUCGUGAGAUGUUGGGUUAAGUCUGGCAUGAGCGCAACCCUUGUCAUUAGUUGCUACGAAGGGCACUCUAAUGAGACUGCCGGUGACAAACCGGAGGAAAGGUGGGGAUGACGUCAAGUCCUCGCGGCCCUUAUGGGUAGGGCUGCGUCAUACAAUGGUCGGGACAGAGGGUCGCCAACCCGCGAGGGGAGCCAAUCCCAGAAACCCGAUCGUAGUCGGAUCGCAGUCUGCAACUCGACUGCGUGAAGUCGGAAUCGCUAGUAAUCGCGGAUCAGCAUGUCGCGGUGAAUACGUUCCCGGGUCUUGUACACACCGCCCCGUCACACCAUGGGAGUGGGUUUUACCAGAAGUAGUUAGCCUAACCGUAGGGAGGCGAUUACCACGGUAGGAUUCAUGGCUGGGGUGAAGUCGUAGCAAGGGCA